This 253-nucleotide ribosomal RNA is filed under the name uncultured bacterium. RNAcentral describes it as "partial 16S ribosomal RNA". It matches the Rfam family "Bacterial small subunit ribosomal RNA", at positions 524 to 776 of the family's 1533-position model. The record is from RNAcentral.
UACGUAGGGUGCAGGCGUUAAUCGGAAUUACUGGGCGUAAAGCGUGCGCAGGCGGUUUGCUAAGACAGGUGUGAAAUCCCCGGGCUUAACCCUGGAACUGCAUUUGAUACUGGGAGACUAGAGUGUGGAAGAGGAUAGUGGAAUUCCCGGUGUAGCGGUGAAAUGCGUAGAUAUCGGGAGGAACAUCAGUGGCGAAGGCGGCUAUCUGGUCUAACACUGACACUCAACUGCGAAAGCGUGGGGAGCAAACAGG